This is a non-coding RNA of Miniopterus natalensis, 1923 nucleotides long. NCBI's taxonomy places the organism in Eukaryota, Metazoa, Chordata, Mammalia, Chiroptera, Miniopteridae. The record is from RefSeq and is a predicted model, not a curated record.
CUGCGGAGUCACAGCGCGCGCGGACGAGAGCGUCCGCUAGUGAGCCGGCGGCCCGGCUCCUCCAGUCCCAGACCUCCUCCAGCGGCUGGGGACAGAGGUUCGCGACGCUUCGUCCAUCACCUCUUCCUACUUUCGCCUUCGGAUCCUGCAGGAGGUCUAGGUCCUUCUUAGGUAUCCCCUCUGGGCUGAGGGGCCCGAAGUGAAUCCUGCGUGAAGCCUGAAUUGGGGGGGAGGGAGGAGUCGUGCCGGCAGGAUGCCGAGGCCUUGGCUGAGGUCUUUAUGUCUGGGCAGAAUCUCGGGGGCUCCCUGGAUCUGAUCAAGUGAGUGAGAGCUGGAGGGUCGCAGCGGCAGGGCCAGAGGGAGAGGGACGGAUUCCUCUCACAUACUGUCCCUGCUUUUCCCGCAAUGUCAGCCUCAUUUGCAUCCCCUGCAGCCUCAGCCGGAGCCGUGAGUGGCCUGUAAUGGCCCAGUCAGAGCCCCUCCCCUCUAUGCCCAACAAGAUUUCCAGGGAAGACUCCUGUUUCUGGCCCCAGAACCCCUGAGAUACCUGCCUUAAGGGAGAGUCUGACAAUUCCCAGGUCUAGGACCUCCAGACGGUGCUCCACAUCGCCCCACAAGUGGUUGUUCUGCCCUGUAUCAACUUUGAGCCACCCGGGGCCUGCCUCUAUCCCAUCCCCCUCAGCCCUGGGGGCCAGCUUCCCCAACAGCUGUUCCUUAUCACAGCAUUGCCCCACAUCUGUGGCCUGGAGGGCCUGUGGUUCCCACAGAGGCAAGGCUGGGAAAAGGCAGGGCAGAACAGAGGUUCUCCACCCCCAAAUGCCUUCCCUUGGGAGGCCCACUGAGGGAUGGGGAGACUGAGGCCCAGAAAUGAUGCCAUUUGGCCACCAGCUCCUCAGCACUAGAGCCUACAUAUACAUCAACCACUCACUCCAGGGCAGUCAGCACCCACCUGUCCUUGGAAAACUCAGACAAGACUCAAGGGGUGCUCUCCCCAGGUUCCCUGAAGAAGAGCCUUCCCUCAUACUCUUCAGGACACCCUGGUCAGCAUCCAAGAAGCAAGGUGGUUGGCUCUCUCAGGGGUCUCUCAAAUCUGGAAUUUCCUUAGUCAUGCAGAACGGGAGGGGGGGGGAGCAGAUUCCAGGAGUAACCCUGGCUACUCCUGGGAGCUGGGGGUCUUUUGGAGAUUCAGGAAACUCCUACACUGCCUUCUCACAGCUUUGUGCCUGUUACUGCUAACAGGCACAUACUGUUACUCCAGAAUGAAGGUGGCAUCCAUCCUACCCACUCUGGUUUCUCUAUCACCUUCCCUUGAGUCCCUGUUUUAGGCUCAUCUGCCCCCUGCGGACUAAGCCUCUAUCUCCAGACACUGGCUGGAGUGGGUCCCUAUGGCCUCACUGGGCUACAAAAACCCUGAAGGAUGGGUGGGCACACCUCAUGGGCCCAGAGCUUUGAGACCUAGAAAUCUCUGGUCCCAGGUCACAGCAGUGACCCACAGCUUUCACCCAUCAGUCCAUGGUCAGUAUUCUAACAAACCCAGACCACAUUUACUGAACUCAUGCUCUGUUCCAUUUAACCACAUCACUCCCCUACUUACCUUUGGUGACCUUCUUUCUUUAAAAUAAAAUCUAAGACCCAUUCCAUGGCCUGUGAGGCCCUGCUCUGUGGUCCAACCCCACUUCUACUCUCCCGUUAGCCCAGUACGUGCUGGCCAAGAUCGCCUUUCUCUGUUCUUUGAAUACACCUGUGUUUCUCUGCUUCUGGGCCUUUGCACAGGCCUUUUUCUCUGCUUGGAACUGGGUUGGAAGCCCUAUAAGGGGAGAGAUUGUGCUUGGUUUUGUUUGGCCCUAUAUCUUAGACCGGUAAACAAUAGAUACUCAAUAAGUGCCAGCUGUAAUAUGUCUUAAUAAACAAUUAUUGAAUAAA